RNAcentral lists this ribosomal RNA (491 nucleotides) under uncultured bacterium. Its description in RNAcentral is "partial 16S ribosomal RNA". It matches the Rfam family "Bacterial small subunit ribosomal RNA", at positions 29 to 507 of the family's 1533-position model. The record is from RNAcentral.
GUGAACGCUGGCGGUAGGCCUAACACCUGCAAGUCGCACGGCAGCACAGUAAGAGCUUGCUCUUACGGGUGGCGAGUGGCGGACGGGUGAGGAAUACAUCGGAAUCUACUUUUUCGUGGGGGAUAACGUAGGGAAACUUACGCUAAUACCGCAUACGACCUACGGGUGAAAGCCGGGGAUCUUCGGACCUUGCGCGAUUGAAUGAGCCGAUGUCGGAUUAGCUAGUUGGCGGGGUAAAGGCCCACCAAGGCGACGAUCCGUAGCUGGUCUGAGAGGAUGAUCAGCCACACUGGAACUGAGACACGGUCCAGACUCCUACGGGAGGCAGCAGUGGGGAAUAUUGGACAAUGGGCGCAAGCCUGAUCCAGCCAUACCGCGUGGGUGAAGAAGGCCUUCGGGUUGUAAAGCCCUUUUGUUGGGAAAGAAAAGCAGCAGGUUAAUACCCCGCUGUUCUGACGGUACCCAAAGAAUAAGCACCGGCUAACUUCGUG